RNAcentral lists this ribosomal RNA (560 nucleotides) under uncultured bacterium. Its description in RNAcentral is "bacterial SSU rRNA". It matches the Rfam family "Bacterial small subunit ribosomal RNA", at positions 338 to 916 of the family's 1533-position model. The record is from RNAcentral.
CCUACGGGAGGCAGCAGUGGGGAAUAUUGGACAAUGGGGGAAACCCUGAUCCAGCAAUGCCGCGUGAGUGAUGAAGGCCUUAGGGUUGUAAAGCUCUUUUACCUGCGAUGAUAAUGACAGUAGCAGGGGAAUAAGCUCCGGCUAACUUCGUGCCAGCAGCCGCGGUAAUACGAAGGGAGCUAGCGUUGUUCGGAAUUACUGGGCGUAAAGGGCACGUAGGCGGCGCUGUAAGUGAGAUGUGAAAGACCUGGGCUUAACCUGGGAAGUGCAUUUCAGACUGCAGUGCUAGAGUGCGAGAGAGGAAAGUGGAAUGACGCAUGUAGAGGUGAAAUUCGUAGAUAUGCGUUGGAACACCAAUGGCGAAGGCAACUUUCUGGCUCGCAACUGACGCUAGGGCGCGAAAGCGUGGGGAGCAAACAGGAUUAGAUACCCUGGUAGUCCACGCCGUAAACGAUGAUUGCUAGACGUCGGGAACGACAGUUUUCGGUGUCGCAGCUAACGCAUUAAGCAUCCCGCCUGGGGAGUACGGUCGCAAGAUUAAAACUCAAAUGAAUUGACGG